GGGAGGCAGCAGUAGGGAAUCUUCCGCAAUGGACGAAAGUCUGACGGAGCAACGCCGCGUGAGUGAUGAAGGUUUUCGGAUCGUAAAACUCUGUUGUUAGGGAAGAACAAGUCGGGUAGUAACUGACCCGGCCUUGACGGUACCUAACCAGAAAGCCCCGGCUAACUACGUGCCAGCAGCCGCGGUAAUACGUAGGGGGCAAGCGUUGUCCGGAAUUAUUGGGCGUAAAGCGCUCGCAGGCGGUCCUUUAAGUCUGAUGUGAAAUCUCGCGGCUCAACCGCGAACGGUCAUUGGAAACUGGAGGACUUGAGUACAGAAGAGGAGAGUGGAAUUCCACGUGUAGCGGUGAAAUGCGUAGAGAUGUGGAGGAACACCAGUGGCGAAGGCGACUCUCUGGUCUGUAACUGACGCUGAGGAGCGAAAGCGUGGGGAGCGAACAGGAUUAGAUACCCUGGUAGUCCACGCCGUAAACGAUGAGUGCUAGGUGUUAGGGGGUUUCCGCCCCUUAGUGCUGAAGUUAACGCAUUAAGCACUCCGCCUGGGGAGUACGGCCGCAAGGCUGAAACUCAAAAGAAUUGACGGGGGCCCGCACAAGCGGUGGAGCAUGUGGUUUAAUUCGAAGCAACGCGAAGAACCUUACCAGGUCUUGACAUCCUCUGCUAUUCCUAGAGAUAGGAAGUUCCCUUCGGGGACAGAGUGACAGGUGGUGCAUGGUUGUCGUCAGCUCGUGUCGUGAGAUGUUGGGUUAAGUCCCGCAACGAGCGCAACCCUUGAUCUUAGUUGCCAGCAUUAAGUUGGGCACUCUAAGGUGACUGCCGGUGACAAACCGGAGGAAGGUGGGGAUGACGUCAAAUCAUCAUGCCCCUUAUGACCUGGGCUACACACGUGCUACAAUGGAUGGAACAAAGGGAAGCAAAACCGCGAGGUCAAGCAAAUCCCAUAAAACCAUUCUCAGUUCGGAUUGCAGGCUGCAACUCGCCUGCAUGAAGCCGGAAUCGCUAGUAAUCGCGGAUCAGCAU
RNAcentral lists this ribosomal RNA (1019 nucleotides) under Oceanobacillus sp. Its description in RNAcentral is "bacterial SSU rRNA". It matches the Rfam family "Bacterial small subunit ribosomal RNA", at positions 343 to 1355 of the family's 1533-position model. The record is from RNAcentral. Lineage: Bacteria; Bacillati; Bacillota; Bacilli; Caryophanales; Bacillaceae.